CUGGUCUUGACAUCCCGAUGAAAAACGAGUAAUGUCGUUCCCUCUUCGGAGCAUUGGAGACAGGUGGUGCAUGGUUGUCGUCAGCUCGUGUCGUGAGAUGUUGGGUUAAGUCCCGCAACGAGCGCAACCCCUAUCCUUAGUAGCCAGCAGUGAGAUGGGCACUCUAGGGAGACUGCCGGGGAUAACCCGGAGGAAGGCGGGGAUGACGUCAAAUCAUCAUGCCCCUUAUGACCAGGGCUACACACGUGCUACAAUGGCGUAAACAAAGGGAAGCGACCCUGUGAAGGCGAGCAAAUCUCAAAAAUAACGUCUCAGUUCGGAUUGUAGUCUGCAACUCGACUACAUGAAGCUGGAAUCGCUAGUAAUCGCGGAUCAGCA
RNAcentral lists this ribosomal RNA (378 nucleotides) under uncultured bacterium. Its description in RNAcentral is "bacterial SSU rRNA". It matches the Rfam family "Bacterial small subunit ribosomal RNA", at positions 975 to 1354 of the family's 1533-position model. The record is from RNAcentral.